Molecule: unclassified non-coding RNA, 406 nt
Filed under: soil metagenome
Description: partial contains 5.8S ribosomal RNA, internal transcribed spacer 2, and large subunit ribosomal RNA
Rfam family: 5.8S ribosomal RNA (bases 1-121)
Source: RNAcentral
GAUGAAGAACGUAGUGAAACGCGAUAGGUAAUGUGAAUUGCAGAAUUCAGUGAAUCAUCGAAUCUUUGAACGCACCUUGCGCCCUUUGGCCAUUCCGAAGGGCAUGCCUGUUUGAGUAUCAUGAACACCUCAACUCUUCAUGGUUUUCCGUGAUGAGCUUGGACUUUGGGGGUCUUGCUGGCCUAUGGUCAGCUCCUCUAAAAUAAAUCAGCUUGCCAGUGUUUGGUGGGUAUCACAGGUGUGAUAACUAUCUACGCUUGUGGUUUUCCACCAGGUAACCUUCAGCAGUGGAGGUUCGCUGGAGCUCACAGAUGUGUCUCUCCUCAGUGAGGACAGCUCUUUGAAUGUUUGAUCUCAAAUCAGGUAGGACUACCCGCUGAACUUAAGCAUAUCAAUAAGCGGAGGA